UUGGGAAUCUUGGACAAUGGGGGAAAGCCUGAUCCAGCCAUGCCGCGUGUGUGAAGAAGGUCUUCGGAUUGUAAAGCACUUUAAGUUGGGAGGAAGGGCAUUAACCUAAUACGUUAGUGUUUUGACGUUACCGACAGAAUAAGCACCGGCUAACUCUGUGCCAGCAGCCGCGGUAAUACAGAGGGUGCAAGCGUUAAUCGGAAUUACUGGGCGUAAAGCGCGCGUAGGUGGUUUGUUAAGUUGGAUGUGAAAUCCCCGGGCUCAACCUGGGAACUGCAUUCAAAACUGACUGACUAGAGUAUGGUAGAGGGUGGUGGAAUUUCCUGUGUAGCGGUGAAAUGCGUAGAUAUAGGAAGGAACACCAGUGGCGAAGGCGACCACCUGGACUAAUACUGACACUGAGGUGCGAAAGCGUGGGGAGCAAACA
RNAcentral lists this ribosomal RNA (427 nucleotides) under uncultured bacterium. Its description in RNAcentral is "partial 16S ribosomal RNA". It matches the Rfam family "Bacterial small subunit ribosomal RNA", at positions 355 to 774 of the family's 1533-position model. The record is from RNAcentral.